UCUUAACGUCGCGAAAGAAAGGAAUGUUUUUUUUUUAUAUUUAAUGGGUCCACGUUUGGCCGCUAUCUCGCCUGAUGGUUAGUGAUGAUGCGGCCUACGAUGGAGCACGUCUGCCCAUAAGCAACCUAUUCACUCGGGCUUUGAAGACACUCCGGUUAUACCCAUCAGGAAACACAGACUCCGGCCACUUUGGGCAAGGCGAGAGGGAGUGUCAGACUCUUACUGACUAAAAACCAUCCCGUUCCUUCUCCUGCUUUUUGAGCCGGAGCCCCGCUACCCUUGCUCGCCGUCCGCAGGCCCGCACUUACGGUGGCCAGAGAUCGUCCCGCGAUCCCCGACGCCCGGAGUCUCUCGCGACGGCUGGGGCGUGAGGAGGUUCGUUCUCUCACGCGCCCCGCCUCCUCCUUAGCCAGCAUGACUGCUUCGCAGAAGGAGAUGGCAUCCCAGUCCCUCUCGCUCCGCACCAUGGUCUGAACCAGUGCCGGGCGCGAGAGGUCGCCGUCGCCGACCACAUCUCUGAGGACUUGGCGGUGCUCAGCCCACGCAGGGCACACCGCCACCGUAUGUUCUACCGUGUCCUCCGGGCGGUCCUCGCAGUGAUGCCUGGCCGUUUCCAAUAAGGAACAGGAACCUACCGAAACUCCCAUGUCCGGUAAACACCUGCGUCAGACGGUAGGUGAGGACGCCGUGGCGCCUCUCUAGCCACUCCUCAAAGAGGGAACUUACCGCUGCAAUGACAGCGAGCAUAGAGUUCCACUCCCUAGCAUUUCGCACAAGGAAACUUAAAGCGAAGCGCUUCGUGCGAGUGGGUGGGAUAUCUACCAUGAAACGGUGACGCCUCACCGAUUGUCUGGUUCGAUGAUGGAAAGGAGGAUAGGGGAAUUAAGUUGUGCAAUUCCCCGCACACUCUCUGAAAUGUAUCCGGUAAAAAAUGGAAAGGCUUACAACCUUCAAGGCUUUGAAACCGGGCCUCCACAAGCGCAUCAUCAUUGAUGAGCUUCUUGGCACGCCUUUCGAUGUGUUCUAGUGCAUCGAGCUGGUAUUUACUGGAAGUUAAUAGGAUGACGAAGAGAGACGAGGCUUUAACCAUGACUCGGAAACCAGGAUAGCAUGGACAUCUUUGCAAUUGAAAACUGUCAGCAUAUCAAUGAAAUGAGCCGGAACACUCUCUGCAUUUAUGUGGACCACAUUAAAGUCGAGUCGAGAAACAUCAGAAAAAAUAGAUACAAGUGUAUUAGCUAGAGGAGGAACACUAUUAAAAAUGUCAUCGUCUGCUGAUAAAGAAAUACACGUCAGAGUCACUUUUCGGAGAGACUGAAGCUCGAGAUGCCUCAGCAUGAAAGCAGAGCCUUUGACCAAUCUUUUACGGUUCGAGCCGUGCGACUGUGGAAUGCGCUACCACUUUUAGUAAGGCAGGCACAGUCGCUCGCUUCGUUUAAGGUGCUCGUGAAGGAUCACUAUCUUUCCAAGCUGUAACACAUCAUUAUUUCC
Molecule: long non-coding RNA, 1491 nt
Organism: Spodoptera frugiperda (fall armyworm)
Lineage: Eukaryota; Metazoa; Arthropoda; Insecta; Lepidoptera; Noctuidae
Exons: 2
Source: RefSeq, a predicted model, not a curated record